Molecule: transfer RNA, 89 nt
Filed under: human gut metagenome
Also listed under: 1 other name
Description: Selenocysteine transfer RNA
Rfam family: Selenocysteine transfer RNA
Source: RNAcentral
GGAGCAGAUGGGUGCUGGUGUGUCCCCUGGUCUUCAAAACCAGUGUGGGGUAUUGGGUUAUCCCGGGUGGGUUCGAUUCCCACAUGCUC